RNAcentral lists this ribosomal RNA (2927 nucleotides) under Salmonella enterica subsp. enterica serovar Chester. RNAcentral's name for it is "23S ribosomal RNA". It matches the Rfam family "Bacterial large subunit ribosomal RNA". The record is from RNAcentral. Lineage: Bacteria; Pseudomonadati; Pseudomonadota; Gammaproteobacteria; Enterobacterales; Enterobacteriaceae.
GGGUUGUGAGGUUAAGCGACUAAGCGUACACGGUGGAUGCCCUGGCAGUCAGAGGCGAUGAAGGGCGUGCUAAUCUGCGAUAAGCGCCGGUAAGGUGAUAUGAACCGUUAUAACCGGCGAUACCCGAAUGGGGAAACCCAGUGUGACUCGUCACACUAUCAUUAACUGAAUCCAUAGGUUAAUGAGGCGAACCGGGGGAACUGAAACAUCUAAGUACCCCGAGGAAAAGAAAUCAACCGAGAUUCCCCCAGUAGCGGCGAGCGAACGGGGAGGAGCCCAGAGCCUGAAUCAGCAUGUGUGUUAGUGGAAGCGUCUGGAAAGGCGCGCGAUACAGGGUGACAGCCCCGUACACAAAAGCGCAUGUGCUGUGAGCUCGAUGAGUAGGGCGGGACACGUGGUAUCCUGUCUGAAUAUGGGGGGACCAUCCUCCAAGGCUAAAUACUCCUGACUGACCGAUAGUGAACCAGUACCGUGAGGGAAAGGCGAAAAGAACCCCGGCGAGGGGAGUGAAAAAGAACCUGAAACCGUGUACGUACAAGCAGUGGGAGCACCCUUUGGGGUGUGACUGCGUACCUUUUGUAUAAUGGGUCAGCGACUUAUAUUCUGUAGCAAGGUUAACCGAAUAGGGGAGCCGGAGGGAAACCGAGUCUUAACCGGGCGUUAAGUUGCAGGGUAUAGACCCGAAACCCGGUGAUCUAGCCAUGGGCAGGUUGAAGGUUGGGUAACACUAACUGGAGGACCGAACCGACUAAUGUUGAAAAAUUAGCGGAUGACCUGUGGCUGGGGGUGAAAGGCCAAUCAAACCGGGAGAUAGCUGGUUCUCCCCGAAAGCUAUUUAGGUAGCGCCUCGUGAAUUCAUCUCCGGGGGUAGAGCACUGUUUCGGCUAGGGGGCCAUCCCGGCUUACCAACCCGAUGCAAACUGCGAAUACCGGAGAAUGUUAUCACGGGAGACACACGGCGGGUGCUAACGUCCGUCGUGAAGAGGGAAACAACCCAGACCGCCAGCUAAGGUCCCAAAGUCAUGGUUAAGUGGGAAACGAUGUGGGAAGGCCCAGACAGCCAGGAUGUUGGCUUAGAAGCAGCCAUCAUUUAAAGAAAGCGUAAUAGCUCACUGGUCGAGUCGGCCUGCGCGGAAGAUGUAACGGGGCUAAACCAUGCACCGAAGCUGCGGCAGCGACGCUGAUGCGUUGUUGGGUAGGGGAGCGUUCUGUAAGCCUGCGAAGGUGGCCUGUGAGGGUUGCUGGAGGUAUCAGAAGUGCGAAUGCUGACAUAAGUAACGAUAAAGCGGGUGAAAAGCCCGCUCGCCGGAAGACCAAGGGUUCCUGUCCAACGUUAAUCGGGGCAGGGUGAGUCGACCCCUAAGGCGAGGCCGAAAGGCGUAGUCGAUGGGAAACGGGUUAAUAUUCCCGUACUUGGUGUUACUGCGAAGGGGGGACGGAGAAGGCUAUGUUGGCCGGGCGACGGUUGUCCCGGUUUAAGCGUGUAGGUGUGUGUUCCAGGUAAAUCCGGUUCACUUUAACACUGAGGCGUGAUGACGAGGCACUACGGUGCUGAAGCAACAAAUGCCCUGCUUCCAGGAAAAGCCUCUAAGCAUCAGGUAACAUCAAAUCGUACCCCAAACCGACACAGGUGGUCAGGUAGAGAAUACCAAGGCGCUUGAGAGAACUCGGGUGAAGGAACUAGGCAAAAUGGUGCCGUAACUUCGGGAGAAGGCACGCUGACACGUAGGUGAAGUGAUUUACUCAUGGAGCUGAAGUCAGUCGAAGAUACCAGCUGGCUGCAACUGUUUAUUAAAAACACAGCACUGUGCAAACACGAAAGUGGACGUAUACGGUGUGACGCCUGCCCGGUGCCGGAAGGUUAAUUGAUGGGGUCAGCGCAAGCGAAGCUCCUGAUCGAAGCCCCGGUAAACGGCGGCCGUAACUAUAACGGUCCUAAGGUAGCGAAAUUCCUUGUCGGGUAAGUUCCGACCUGCACGAAUGGCGUAAUGAUGGCCAGGCUGUCUCCACCCGAGACUCAGUGAAAUUGAACUCGCUGUGAAGAUGCAGUGUACCCGCGGCAAGACGGAAAGACCCCGUGAACCUUUACUAUAGCUUGACACUGAACAUUGAGCCUUGAUGUGUAGGAUAGGUGGGAGGCUUUGAAGUGUGGACGCCAGUCUGCAUGGAGCCGACCUUGAAAUACCACCCUUUAAUGUUUGAUGUUCUAACGUGGACCCGUGAUCCGGGUUGCGGACAGUGUCUGGUGGGUAGUUUGACUGGGGCGGUCUCCUCCUAAAGAGUAACGGAGGAGCACGAAGGUUGGCUAAUCCUGGUCGGACAUCAGGAGGUUAGUGCAAUGGCAUAAGCCAGCUUGACUGCGAGCGUGACGGCGCGAGCAGGUGCGAAAGCAGGUCAUAGUGAUCCGGUGGUUCUGAAUGGAAGGGCCAUCGCUCAACGGAUAAAAGGUACUCCGGGGAUAACAGGCUGAUACCGCCCAAGAGUUCAUAUCGACGGCGGUGUUUGGCACCUCGAUGUCGGCUCAUCACAUCCUGGGGCUGAAGUAGGUCCCAAGGGUAUGGCUGUUCGCCAUUUAAAGUGGUACGCGAGCUGGGUUUAGAACGUCGUGAGACAGUUCGGUCCCUAUCUGCCGUGGGCGCUGGAGAACUGAGGGGGGCUGCUCCUAGUACGAGAGGACCGGAGUGGACGCAUCACUGGUGUUCGGGUUGUCAUGCCAAUGGCACUGCCCGGUAGCUAAAUGCGGAAGAGAUAAGUGCUGAAAGCAUCUAAGCACGAAACUUGCCCCGAGAUGAGUUCUCCCUGAGACUUAAAGUCUCCUGAAGGAACGUUGAAGACGACGACGUUGAUAGGCCGGGUGUGUAAGCGCAGCGAUGCGUUGAGCUAACCGGUACUAAUGAACCGUGAGGCUUAACCUUACAACGCCGAAG